AAAAAAAACACCAAAA
RNAcentral lists this small RNA (16 nucleotides) under Arabidopsis thaliana (thale cress). Its description in RNAcentral is "ATSL248240". Lineage: Eukaryota; Viridiplantae; Streptophyta; Magnoliopsida; Brassicales; Brassicaceae. The record is from RNAcentral.